AACUAAAUAUGCACACCAAGUUAAUUAAUUCAAUUAUUCAUUAUAUCUCAUAUUAACUAAAUAAUUAAUUAACACACCAAAUUAAUUAAUAUAAUCAAUUAUUAUACUACCUAACAACCAAUUAAUUAAUUAACACUCUAAAUAAAUAAAAUAAAAUAUAAUCAUAAUAAUAUAAGAAAUAAAUACUAAAAUUGGGUUGUU
RNAcentral lists this long non-coding RNA (201 nucleotides) under Lathyrus oleraceus (garden pea). Its description in RNAcentral is "Pisum sativum (pea) long non-coding RNA (PSAT_LNC009849)". The record is from RNAcentral. Lineage: Eukaryota; Viridiplantae; Streptophyta; Magnoliopsida; Fabales; Fabaceae.